This 377-nucleotide ribosomal RNA is filed under the name uncultured eukaryote. RNAcentral describes it as "partial 18S ribosomal RNA". It matches the Rfam family "Eukaryotic small subunit ribosomal RNA", at positions 592 to 976 of the family's 1831-position model. The record is from RNAcentral.
CAAUAGCGUAUAUUAAAGUUGUUGCAGUUAAAAAGCUCGUAGUUGGAUUUCGGGGCAGCCUGGCUGGUCCGCCGCAAGGCGAGUACUGGUCAGCCGCCCUUCCUCUCGAAAGCCCCGACUGCUCUUUACUGUAGUGGUCGGGUAGUUCGGGACGUUUACUUUGAAAAAAUUAGAGUGUUCAAGGCAGGCCUACGCCUGAAUACAUUAGCAUGGAAUAAUGGAAGAGGACCUCGGUCCUAUUUUGUUGGUUUCCAGGGCCGAAGUAAUGAUUAAGAGGGACAGUUGGGGGCAUUCGUAUUUAAUUGUCAGAGGUGAAAUUCUCGGAUUUAUGAAAGACGAACAACUGCGAAAGCAUUUGCCAAGGAUGUAUUCAUUAA